UCAAAAAUAUUUUUUUUUUACUAACUUUGACUCUGAUUCCUAGAUUUCCGAGGUUAAAACCUAGCUAACCUUAUUAUAAAAAAUAGAGUAAGAGAAGAAAAAAAAAAGAAAUUAGAACCUUGGAAACCUUGGAGCAGCAGUACUCCACGUUAUUCUUUUUUCUCAUCCUCUUUCUUCUACCUUUUGUUCAACAAAAGACUUACACUAAAAUUGCAAAAAGAUUAUCAACCAUCACCACACAUCAAUCGUCACUCAUCCGGCUUUAAUAGUUCUUGUUUUUCUUGGUGGUUUCUCAAAGGGGAAACUUUUGGGUUAUUUGGACUUGCGGUUUCGGGUCGAGAAUCGGGUCAAGAGGUCGAGAUUGUUGGGUCCUUUAGAGUGUAAUUUCACCUCAUUACUUCCCUUUAAGCAAAUUGCGGGUUCGUAGAGGAACCUUUUUGACUUGAGAUUGAGGUACAUUGACUGUGUUUGCUACUAAGGGACUUGAAGAUAGUUAGCUCCAGUUGGGUUAAAGAGUGCGUUGGAUCCCUUUUGAUUUAAUAGGACUUUAAAAGACUUCCGCUGUUUUUUAUUUAUU
Molecule: long non-coding RNA, 577 nt
Organism: Beta vulgaris subsp. vulgaris (sugar beet)
Lineage: Eukaryota; Viridiplantae; Streptophyta; Magnoliopsida; Caryophyllales; Amaranthaceae
Exons: 3
Source: RefSeq, a predicted model, not a curated record